AUUGAACGCUGGCGGCAUGCCUUACACAUGCAAGUCGAACGGCAGCACGGGUGCUUGCACCUGGUGGCGAGUGGCGAACGGGUGAGUAAUAUAUCGGAACGUACCUUAUUGUGGGGGAUAACGCAGCGAAAGCUGUGCUAAUACCGCAUAAUCCCUAAGGGGGAAAGCGGGGGACCGUAAGGCCUCGCGCAAUUAGAGCGGCCGAUACCUGAUUAGCUAGUUGGUGAGGUAAAGGCUCACCAAGGCAACGAUCAGUAGCUGGUCUGAGAGGACGAGCAGCCACACGGGGACUGAGACACGGCCCAGACUCCUACGGGAGGCAGCAGUGGGGAAUUUUGGACAAUGGGGGCAACCCUGAUCCAGCAAUGCCGCGUGAGUGAAGAAGGCCUUCGGGUUGUAAAGCUCUUUUGUCAGGGAAGAAACAGCAGCUCUAACACAGUUUGCGAAUGACGGUACCUGAAGAAUAAGCACCGGCUAACUACGUGCCAGCCGCCGCAGUAA
This 501-nucleotide ribosomal RNA is filed under the name uncultured bacterium. RNAcentral describes it as "partial 16S ribosomal RNA". It matches the Rfam family "Bacterial small subunit ribosomal RNA", at positions 30 to 523 of the family's 1533-position model. The record is from RNAcentral.